This 72-nucleotide transfer RNA is filed under the name Sclerotinia borealis F-4128. Its description in RNAcentral is "tRNA-Cys (GCA) (tRNA-Cys-GCA-3-1)". It matches the Rfam family "tRNA". From Rfam's summary of the family: Transfer RNA (tRNA) molecules are approximately 80 nucleotides in length. Their secondary structure includes four short double-helical elements and three loops (D, anti-codon, and T loops). Lineage: Eukaryota; Fungi; Ascomycota; Leotiomycetes; Helotiales; Sclerotiniaceae. The record is from RNAcentral.
GCUUUCUUAGCUCAGUGGUAGAGCGGACGAUUGCAGAUCGUCAGGUCAGUCGUUCGAACCGGCUAGAAAGCU